CAACUGCCUUUAGGGGAUAUACUAUGAUCAUGAAAGUAGUUUUCUCAGGAUGAGGCUUAUCCAUUAUAUUUUGGAUGUGCUGACCCUUGCAAUUUCCUCAAUAUGAGAAACUUUACUAUGUCAUUUUUUUUUGUAUUGAGGGACUACAUCAGUUCCACCCCCA
This is a small nuclear RNA of Erinaceus europaeus (western European hedgehog), 163 nucleotides long. Its record names the gene U1. It matches the Rfam family "U1 spliceosomal RNA". From Rfam's summary of the family: U1 is a small nuclear RNA (snRNA) component of the spliceosome (involved in pre-mRNA splicing). The record is from Ensembl. Lineage: Eukaryota; Metazoa; Chordata; Mammalia; Eulipotyphla; Erinaceidae.